RNAcentral lists this transfer RNA (70 nucleotides) under Pseudemydura umbrina (Western swamp turtle). RNAcentral describes it as "tRNA-Phe". Lineage: Eukaryota; Metazoa; Chordata; Testudines; Chelidae. The record is from RNAcentral.
GUUACUGUAGCUUAACUAAAAGCAUGGUAUUGAAGAUACCAAAAUGGGUACUUACCUUUCCCCAGGAACA